GAUGAACGCUGGCGGCGUGCCUAAUACAUGCAAGUCGAGCGAACAGACGAGGAGCUUGCUCCUCUGACGUUAGCGGCGGACGGGUGAGUAACACGUGGAUAACCUACCUAUAAGACUGGGAUAACUUCGGGAAACCGGAGCUAAUACCGGAUAAUAUAUUGAACCGCAUGGUUCAAUAGUGAAAGACGGUUUUGCUGUCACUUAUAGAUGGAUCCGCGCCGCAUUAGCUAGUUGGUAAGGUAACGGCCUACCAAGGCGACGAUGCGUAGCCGACCUGAGAGGGUUGACCGCCCCACCGGGACCUAGCAAACGGCCCAACCCCCAAGGGAGGCCACCAUUGGGAAUCCCUCCCAAUGGGCGAAAGCCUGACGGAGCAACGCCGCGUGAGUGAUGAAGGUCUUCGGAUCGUAAAACUCUGUUAUUAGGGAAGAACAAAUGUGUAAGUAACUAUGCACGUCUUGACGGUACCUAAUCAGAAAGCCACGGCUAACUACGUG
This 497-nucleotide ribosomal RNA is filed under the name uncultured bacterium. Its description in RNAcentral is "partial 16S ribosomal RNA". It matches the Rfam family "Bacterial small subunit ribosomal RNA", at positions 28 to 507 of the family's 1533-position model. The record is from RNAcentral.